UACGUAGGGUGCGAGCGUUGUCCGGAAUUAUUGGGCGUAAAGGGCUCGUAGGCGGUUUGUCGCGUCGGGAGUGAAAUCCUCUGGCUUAACUGGGUGCUUGCUUUCGAUACGGGCAGACUAGAGGUAUGCAGGGGAGAACGGAAUUCCUGGUGUAGCGGUGAAAUGCGUAGAUAUCGGGAGGAACACCUGUGGCGAAGGCGGCCCCCUGGUUGGAUACUGACGCUGAGACGCGAAAGCGUGGGGAGCAAACAGG
Molecule: ribosomal RNA, 253 nt
Filed under: uncultured bacterium
Lineage: Bacteria
Description: partial 16S ribosomal RNA
Rfam family: Bacterial small subunit ribosomal RNA
Source: RNAcentral